RNAcentral lists this ribosomal RNA (117 nucleotides) under Myxococcales bacterium. Lineage: Bacteria; Pseudomonadati; Myxococcota; Myxococcia; Myxococcales. The record is from RNAcentral. RNAcentral also lists the same sequence under 1 other name.
CCCACCGUUCAUAGAGCAGGGGCCACACCCGUUCCCAUUCCGAACACGGAAGUUAAGCCCUGCUUCGGCGAUGGUACUGCCGGGCAUCCUCGGUGGGAGAGUAGCGCGACGGUGGGA